UACGAAGGGGCGAGCGUUGUUCGGAUUUACUGGGCGUAAAGGGCGCGUAGGCGGCGGGUCAAGUCGAGUGUGAAAGCCCCGGGCUCAACCUGGGAAUUGCGCUCGAGACUGGUCUGCUUGAGUUCGGGAGAGGAGCGUGGAAUUCCCAGUGUAGAGGUGAAAUUCGUAGAUAUUGGGAAGAACACCGGUGGCGAAGGCGGCGCUCUGGACCGAGACUGACGCUGAGGCGCGAAAGCGUGGGGAGCAAACAGGG
Molecule: ribosomal RNA, 253 nt
Filed under: uncultured bacterium
Lineage: Bacteria
Description: partial 16S ribosomal RNA
Rfam family: Bacterial small subunit ribosomal RNA
Source: RNAcentral